GACGAACGCUGGCGGCGUGCUUAACACAUGCAAGUCGAACGGAAAGGCCCUGCUUUUGUGGGGUGCUCGAGUGGCGAACGGGUGAGUAACACGUGAGUAACCUGCCCUUGACUUUGGGAUAACUUCAGGAAACUGGGGCUAAUACCGGAUAGGAGCUCCUGCUGCAUGGUGGGGGUUGGAAAGUUUCGGCGGUUGGGGAUGGACUCGCGGCUUAUCAGCUUGUUGGUGGGGUAGUGGCUUACCAAGGCUUUGACGGGUAGCCGGCCUGAGAGGGUGACCGGCCACAUUGGGACUGCGAUACGGCCCAGACUCCUACGGGGGGCAGCAGUGGGGAAUAUUGCACAAUGGGCGGACGCCUGAUGCAGCAACGCCGCGUGCGGGAUGACGGCCUUCGGGUUGUAAAACGCUUUCGCCUGUGACGAAGCGUGAGUGACGGUAAUGGGUAAAGAAGCACCGGCUAACUACGUG
Molecule: ribosomal RNA, 468 nt
Filed under: uncultured bacterium
Lineage: Bacteria
Description: partial 16S ribosomal RNA
Rfam family: Bacterial small subunit ribosomal RNA
Source: RNAcentral